Molecule: long non-coding RNA, 240 nt
Filed under: Carica papaya (papaya)
Lineage: Eukaryota; Viridiplantae; Streptophyta; Magnoliopsida; Brassicales; Caricaceae
Description: long non-coding RNA (CPAP_LNC008606)
Source: RNAcentral
UGAACAAACAACAACUAAUUAGAGAGCCUUAUCGUCCACCAUCUCUACGCCCAGAGCCUCUUCAGAUGUUGCCGCCAACAUUGUUGCAAUUUUUGCACUAUGCUGUGGAAGAUGGCACGUGCAUCCAGAUUCUAAUUGAAAGUGGUGAUCAAGCUCAAGCCGUUAGUAAAAAAAACAUGAUCACACAGUCUUUAUUUUACAUAUAGUAGACAAAAAAUCUGAAAGAUAAAAUUUCUAAUC